GACGAACGCUGGCGGCGUGCUUAACACAUGCAAGUCGAACGGAAAGGCCUGCUUUCCCUUGUGGAUUGCGGGUACUCGAGUGGCGAACGGGUGAGUAACACGUGAGUGAUCUGCCCCCAACUUGGGUAUAAGCCUGGGAAACUGGGUCUAAUUCCCGAUAGGACUGCAGGGUGGUGCCUGUGGUGGAAAACGAUUUUCUAGUGGUUGGGGAUGAGCCCGCGGCCUAUCAGCUUGUUGGUGGGGUAAUGGCCUACCAAGGCGGCGACGGGUAGCCGGCCUGAGAGGGUGGACGGCCGCAUUGAGACUGAGAUACGGCCCAGACUCCUACGGGAGGCAGCGGUGGUGAAUCUUGGGCAAUGGGCGGAAGCCUGAUGCGGCGACGCCGCGGGGGGGAUGACGGCCUUCGGGUUGUAAACUCCUUUCGACCGGGAGGAAGCCACCUGGUUGGAAGGGUGGUGACGGUAGUGGUAGAAGAAGCGCCGGCUAACUACGUG
Molecule: ribosomal RNA, 494 nt
Filed under: uncultured bacterium
Lineage: Bacteria
Description: partial 16S ribosomal RNA
Rfam family: Bacterial small subunit ribosomal RNA
Source: RNAcentral